RNAcentral lists this long non-coding RNA (1564 nucleotides) under Solanum tuberosum (potato). RNAcentral's name for it is "long non-coding RNA (STUB_LNC000568)". Lineage: Eukaryota; Viridiplantae; Streptophyta; Magnoliopsida; Solanales; Solanaceae. The record is from RNAcentral.
GGAAGGUGAAUCAUUCAUCUGCAUGGUUUCAAGAAAAACAGUUCAAGCUCCAACUGAUUUGUUUAAUAUAAAUAGUGAUGUAGACUCAAACAACACAUUUGCUAUCAAUAAUAUGGUGGCAGAGCAAUAACAAACUCUUGUAUGGAUUGUUUUGUUAUCUUAUAAUGUGAUAUCUUUAACUAUAAAAAAAGUCACAUUUUUCACAAGGCUAAAUAUUUUAAUUUCAAAAAGUAAGAAAGUCAGUAGACUAACUAUUUAAUAAAUCACCACUACAAGUAGUCUUAAAAGGCAACAAAAAUAGAUAUUCACCUUUUCAAACAAUCAUCCAUUGAACAACACAAAGUGCCUAAAUGCAUCUACAACAAUCUGUUACAACACAAUAUUUAAAUAUAUAUAUUGAUUUACACAUUGAUAUGCCUUAGUCAUUACAACAUAAAAAUAAUACAUUCUAAUUUAUAAAAACUUACGAAAAUAAUUAAAAGUUUAUAACAUGAAGCCACUGAAAUAAAAUGAAUAUUAACACUAUGACUAGGUUAUUCUAAGAGUAAAAAAGAAAAAUAAAAUGAUAAAAAAAAACUCCAACCACUAUUUGGGGAUUAACUCAAUAUAGAAGACUCUAAAAUAUCUAUAUCGAUCUACUCUUUGAGCUUACUUCGACAAUGUCUUAUGUAGUGGUUGAUCUUAUUAAAUUUCUAUAUCGAUUUUUGUCUUAACCCCUUUUAGCUUAAGGUUAUCAUUUGUUAAGUCACCAAAACAUAAAAGUGUGCAUAUUACAUUUGUGUUUUUUUAUUAUAAAACAUCUCUGUAUUAUUUUAACAACUUAUAGGGUAAGCAAAUAGUUAUGAUCCAUUCUUCCAAUUAACUUCCUAUUUUCCUUCUCAUUAUCUUCAAUUUUAACCUUCAAAUUUGUCAAAAAGCACUCUCUUUAAUUCUCAGUGUAAAUCUAUUCUUUAAAGUCAUAGUAAUGAUAAAAAGAUUAUUGUUGAUUCUUUUUUACAAAUUUCCAUUUAAUAUUUAUUAUUAAAAAAAUAUUGAUGAUGAAUAAGAUCACAUUAUAGCAGCUUUAUUUAUCUUAGAGAUGUACAAUUCUCUUCCAGAUUUACAUACCGAGUUGGAGAUGAUAUCUCUUCUGUUCAAAGAACUUAUUACAGAAUACCAUAACUAUUAAGCAGUAUUAUUCAAGUGACAAUAUCUCUACGUAACAUUUUAUCAAAUACCAAAUAGGCAUCAUAAAUUUGUACUCCAAAAACUAACACACAAGUAGUCAAAUAUAAAUAAAUGAAUAAUAAUAACAAUAGAUCACAAGCAAUACAAUAAAAAAUAAUUUGGAAUUCAACAUAACUUCAUACGAUGACAAAUAGAGUACAAACUAUAUCCUUGUAUGCAUUAGAAAGAAAUAAAAGAAAAACCUUACAUACUCCAAGAUGACAGUUGAUGAAGAGACGAGUGUUGGCUGAAGAAGUAAUUUUGUUUUUCAUUGGAUUGAUUGAAGUCUUUCUAGGUUGAAUAGAAAGGCACAAGAAAGUAAAUGCUAAAUAAAAGUAUCAGAUGUGGCUUGUGGGGC